UACCAGCACCCCGAGUGGUCGGGACGUUUAUUGGGCCUAAAGCAUCCGUAGCCGGUUCUACAAGUCUUCCGUUAAAUCCACCUGCUUAACAGAUGGGCUGCGGAAGAUACUAUGGAGCUAGGAGGCGGGAGAGGCAAGCGGUACUCGAUGGGUAGGGGUAAAAUCCGUUGAUCCAUUGAAGACCGCCAGUGGCGAAGGCGGCUUGCCAGAACGCGCUCGACGGUGAGGGAUGAAAGCUGGGGGAGCAAACCGG
RNAcentral lists this ribosomal RNA (253 nucleotides) under uncultured bacterium. RNAcentral's name for it is "partial 16S ribosomal RNA". It matches the Rfam family "Archaeal small subunit ribosomal RNA", at positions 474 to 727 of the family's 1478-position model. The record is from RNAcentral.